Molecule: ribosomal RNA, 292 nt
Filed under: uncultured bacterium
Lineage: Bacteria
Description: partial 16S ribosomal RNA
Rfam family: Bacterial small subunit ribosomal RNA
Source: RNAcentral
GUGCCAGCAGCCGCGGUAAUACGGAGGGUGCGAGCGUUGUUCGGAAUCACUGGGCGUAAAGCGCGUGUAGGCGGCUUCAUAAGUCUGGUGUGAAAUCCCGGGGCUCAACCCCGGAACUGCGCUGGAAACUGCGAGGCUAGAGUACCGGAGAGGAGAGUGGAAUUCCUGGUGUAGCGGUGAAAUGCGUAGAUAUCAGGAGGAACACCGGUGGCGAAGGCGGCUCUCUGGACGGCUACUGACGCUGAGACGCGAAAGCGUGGGGAGCAAACAGGAUUAGAAACCCCCGUAGUCC